This is a long non-coding RNA of Numida meleagris (helmeted guineafowl), 669 nucleotides long. RefSeq lists it as uncharacterized. NCBI's taxonomy places the organism in Eukaryota, Metazoa, Chordata, Aves, Galliformes, Numididae. The transcript has 3 exons. The record is from RefSeq and is a predicted model, not a curated record.
CAUGCAAUUCCAUUGACAUUAUCUCUUGAUUACAUGUGACAGUGCUCCAAGCGCAGUAUAGAACUGCUUUUAGUUGAACAAUGCCAUGAAAAUGUAAUCCAAGUGCUUUUAAUACCAGAAGAGGACGUUCUUUCCUUCCCCAUUCCAUUAUUGUGACAUCACGGGGACAUGAGGUACAUGUGUGGCAGGGUGACUUGGGUUGGUGAGAGCGCAUUGGGAUGCCUUGGUGGAUCCUGUUGAGCCUUGGCGGGCCCAUGUUGGUUAGUGCAUACAGCACUGAGUUUAUCAAUGUUUUGAAGAGAUCUAAACUCGUCCGAACACGUACAGAUAUGGAGAGAGCCCACUGCACGAACCCAGCCUUGCAGAGCGCUUACAGGAAUGCUGAGUCAUUAAUUACCUCCAGCACCCACUGGGAAGCAUCUCUUCAGCCUGCAUCCAACAGCAGAUGCCUGACAUGGGCUUUUGUGAAGCUGAAUAGCUGUGAACCACUUUGCAGUCCUCAUCUGAAUGGGCUCCUAUAGACUGAAUAAUAUUACUAUUUUACACGGCAGCACUGCUAUUGAGAGUCCUCUGCGUUCUAGCUGUUCUUGAGAGUAACCACAUGCUGCUCAUCGCAGCCUCAGAAUCUGAAACUGCUAAGCUCACAGUUAGCUUAGGUAUUUUCACUCA